RNAcentral lists this ribosomal RNA (460 nucleotides) under uncultured bacterium. Its description in RNAcentral is "partial 16S ribosomal RNA". It matches the Rfam family "Bacterial small subunit ribosomal RNA", at positions 338 to 795 of the family's 1533-position model. The record is from RNAcentral.
CCUACGGGAGGCAGCAGUGAGGAAUAUUGGUCAAUGGACGAGAGUCUGAACCAGCCAAGUAGCGUGAAGGAUGACUGCCCUAUGGGUUGUAAACUUCUUUUAUAUGGGAAUAAAAUGUUCCACGUGUGGGAUUUUGUAUGUACCAUAUGAAUAAGGAUCGGCUAACUCCGUGCCAGCAGCCGCGGUAAUACGGAGGAUCCGAGCGUUAUCCGGAUUUAUUGGGUUUAAAGGGAGCGUAGGUGGAUUGUUAAGUCAGUUGUGAAAGUUUGCGGCUCAACCGUAAAAUUGCAGUUGAAACUGGCAGUCGUGAGUACAGUAGAGGUGGGCGGAAUUCGUGGUGUAGCGGUGAAAUGCUGAGAUAUCACGAAGAACUCCGAUUGCGAAGGCAGCUCACUGGACUGCAACUGACACUGAGGCUCGAAAGUGUGGGUAUCAAACAGGAGUAGAUACCCCAGUAGUC